Molecule: ribosomal RNA, 287 nt
Filed under: uncultured bacterium
Lineage: Bacteria
Description: partial 16S ribosomal RNA
Rfam family: Bacterial small subunit ribosomal RNA
Source: RNAcentral
UGCCCUACGGGGGGCAGCAGUGAGGAAUAUUGGUCAAUGGGCGAGAGCCUGAACCAGCCAAGUCGCGUGAGGGAGUACUGCCCUAUGGGUUGUAAACCUCUUUUGUCGGGGAGCAAAAGCCGGACGUGUCCGGCUGUGAGAGUACCCGAAGAAAAAGCAUCGGCUACCUCCGUGCCAGCAGCCGCGGCAAUACGGAGGAUGCGAGCGUUAUCCGGAUUUAUUGGGUUUACAGGGUGCGCAGGCGGAUUUUUACUUCAGCGGCCAAUUCGUGGGGCUCAACCCCAUCC